GAUGACUGACGAGUGACCACUGCCUGACUCAUUCAGGGGGAGGAAUGGGAACAGGAAAGGCCUGAACACUUCUUGGGUUACUCGAUGGCAUGUUCAGCCUCAGUAUUUUGGCUUCCCAAAGCACUUGGGUGAACCUAGGAGAUCUGUAAGGGCUGGUUGAGGAAAGAAGUGUUGGCACUGUGGCUUCAUUUGCUCGUGGUUGCAAGUUCUUUCCAUAGUAUAAGUCUCCCCUGGAGGUAGUGAAUGUUUCCAAUUUUAUCCCCCCUGCUCUAAUUUGGCAACAGCACUGCCUUUCUUGUUAUUUCCCACAGUAAGGCUUCAUUGGCAGGUGUGUCCACGAUUGAUGAGACUGUGCAGAAGCCUGUGGAAGUGUCUACGCCUACGUCCAGUCUGGAAAGCCAACAGUAAUGCAUCUCCUCCCCCAGGAGGCAGGGGUGACCCAGAUGCUGUACACAUAGCACAAGGCUAAUAAAUAUUUUUAGAAUAAAUCAGUAUAUUUGAUGAAUUAAUCAAGGCAGCCAAGAGAAAGUACAACUGAAUGCAUUCCUGGCUGGUGUGUAACACCAUGAGUCAUUGGUGCCAUUCUGAUUACGGUCCUGAGAGUCUGAAAUUUCUGCCAUUG
Talpa occidentalis (Iberian mole) is the source of this 622-nucleotide long non-coding RNA. RefSeq lists it as uncharacterized. Lineage: Eukaryota; Metazoa; Chordata; Mammalia; Eulipotyphla; Talpidae. The transcript is spliced from 3 exons. The record is from RefSeq and is a predicted model, not a curated record.